GAGCUUACUUCUCCGGAUGAGUUGCGAACGGGUGAGUAACGCGUAGGUAACCUGCCUGGUAGCGGGGGAUAACUAUUGGAAACGAUAGCUAAUACCGCAUAACAGUAGAUAUUGCAUGAUAUCUGCUUGAAAGGUGCAAUUGCAUCACUACMAGAUGGACCUGCGUUGUAUUAGCUAGUWGGUGAGGUAACGGCUCACCWAGGCGACGAUACAUAGCCGACCUGAGAGGGUGAUCGGCCACACUGGGACUGAGACACGGCCCAGACUCCUACGGGAGGCAGCAGUAGGGAAUCUUCGGCAAUGGGGGCAACCCUGACCGAGCAACGCCGCGUGAGUGAAGAAGGUUUUCGGAUCGUAAAGCUCUGUUGUAAGUCAAGAACGAGUGUGAGAGUGGAAAGUUCACACUGUGACGGUAGCUUACCAGAAAGGGACGGCUAACUACGUGCCAGCAGCCGCGGUAAUACGUAGGUCCCGAGCGUUGUCCGGAUUUAUUGGGCGUAAAGCGAGCGCAGGCGGUUUGAUAAGUCUGAAGUUAAAGGCUGUGGCUCAACCAUAGUUCGCUUUGGAAACUGUCAAACUUGAGUGCAGAAGGGGAGAGUGGAAUUCCAUGUGUAGCGGUGAAAUGCGUAG
This 630-nucleotide ribosomal RNA is filed under the name uncultured bacterium. Its description in RNAcentral is "bacterial SSU rRNA". It matches the Rfam family "Bacterial small subunit ribosomal RNA", at positions 76 to 693 of the family's 1533-position model. The record is from RNAcentral.